This is a long non-coding RNA of Silurus meridionalis, 603 nucleotides long. RefSeq lists it as uncharacterized. NCBI's taxonomy places the organism in Eukaryota, Metazoa, Chordata, Actinopteri, Siluriformes, Siluridae. The transcript is spliced from 3 exons. The record is from RefSeq and is a predicted model, not a curated record.
AGUCGAUUCUAUAGCGUGGCAUGUAUUUGGCUUCAUGUCGCGCAUGUUAAUUGACUCAAAUAACAAAAGCACUAGAGAUAAUAAUAUAAACAAUUAUAAAAAUGUUAUGCAGCAAUGAAUUCAUGAUAAAUGAAAAAAAUCCUCAAUAAAUCCGACUCAAAUGUGAGACUCGUGUAGACCCACAGACCUGCUUUUUAUUUACCUGCUGUCCAGAAGGCCAUUCUGCGCGCUGAGGCAUGGGAACUCUCCUUCAUCUUAGGGCCAGAGUGGCAACAUUAUGACUGCAGGCAGAUGGAGAAAGGAAAAUGCACAGGUGGCAGCAACCAGUUUCUUCAAAUGGAUGAGAAUGGAAUGCACAGCUGAAGGAAGUCAUUUGGAAUAUUGCUGAGAACCUUCUGAAUCAGUGCCUCCAAGUCCUCCACUGUGCUAGGCUUUGCCUAUACAUCUCCUCCCUCACGUAGCCCUACAGGAAAAAAUUACAUGGAGUGAGAUCUGGACUUCUUGGAGGCCAUUCAUGAGGUCCGUAUCGUCCCAGUCAACGUCCUGGUAAAAUGCUGGUCAAACCACCCACGCACAGUAAGAGCAAAAUUGGGUGGUGCACCA